RNAcentral lists this unclassified non-coding RNA (347 nucleotides) under Hevea brasiliensis (rubber tree). Lineage: Eukaryota; Viridiplantae; Streptophyta; Magnoliopsida; Malpighiales; Euphorbiaceae. The record is from RNAcentral.
UGGUGGUGGUGGUGGUGGUGAUGAUCAAUGUUUUGAUGGUCUCGGAGGAUUUUUUUGUUGAUGGGUUAUGAUAGGAUUCAUGGGAUUUUGAUUAUAAUGGAAACGAGAUUGAAGUCUGUUAUGGUCUCUUUCUUGGUUUCUCUCCAUGGGUUUGAAUAUUCGGUUUCUUGAUUCUGGUGAACGCAAAGUUUGAAUCUUUAGAGCUAAAUUGUUAAUGGGAUGCGAGAGAUUUACUUCCUUUAGUUCUGGAAGGUGCUUGCUUGAAUUCGAGCCUUCUUCUUCGAUUCAGCUGAUGAAGAACACGAAGAUAAAAAGGUUCGGCUGAGGAGUUCUUUUUUUUUUUUUUU